RNAcentral lists this transfer RNA (85 nucleotides) under Felis catus (domestic cat). It matches the Rfam family "tRNA". Rfam says of the family: Transfer RNA (tRNA) molecules are approximately 80 nucleotides in length. The record is from Rfam by way of RNAcentral. RNAcentral also lists the same sequence under 1 other name. Lineage: Eukaryota; Metazoa; Chordata; Mammalia; Carnivora; Felidae.
GCUUGGGUGGCUCAGUUGGCUAAGCAUCUGACUCUAACUCAGGUGAUGAUCUCGUGGUUUGUGAGUUCGAGCCCCACGCCGGGCU